This 406-nucleotide unclassified non-coding RNA is filed under the name soil metagenome. RNAcentral describes it as "partial contains 5.8S ribosomal RNA, internal transcribed spacer 2, and large subunit ribosomal RNA". The stretch from base 1 to 121 matches the Rfam family "5.8S ribosomal RNA", at positions 35 to 154 of the family's 154-position model. The record is from RNAcentral.
GAUGAAGAACGCAGCGAAAUGCGAUAAGUAAUGUGAAUUGCAGAAUUCAGUGAAUCAUCGAAUCUUUGAACGCACCUUGCGCCCUUUGGCCAUUCCGAAGGGCAUGCCUGUUUGAGUAUCAUGAACACCUCAACUCUUCAUGGUUUUCCAUGAUGAGCUUGGACUUUGGGGGUCUUGCUGGCCUGUGGGUCGGCUCCUCUCAAAUGAAUCGGCUUGCCGGUUUUUGGUGGGCAUCACAGGUGUGAUAACUAUCUACGCUUGUGGUUUUCCACCAGGGUAACCUUCAGCAGUGGAGGUUCACUGGAGCUUACAAAUGUCUCUCCUCUGUGAGGACAGCCCUUUGAAUGUUUGAUCUCAAAUCAGGUAGGACUACCCGCUGAACUUAAGCAUAUCAAUAAGCGGAGGA